Molecule: ribosomal RNA, 1059 nt
Filed under: Lophiostoma khanzadakirgizbaevae
Lineage: Eukaryota; Fungi; Ascomycota; Dothideomycetes; Pleosporales; Lophiostomataceae
Description: SSU rRNA
Rfam family: Eukaryotic small subunit ribosomal RNA
Source: RNAcentral
AAGAUAAGCCAUGCAUGUCUAAGUAUAAGCAAUUAUACCGUGAAACUGCGAAUGGCUCAUUAAAUCAGUUAUCGUUUAUUUGAUAGUACCUUACUACUUGGAUAACCGUGGUAAUUCUAGAGCUAAUACAUGCUGAAAACCCUGACUUCGGAAAGGGUGUAUUUAUUAGAUAAAAAACCAAUGCCCUUUGGGCUCUUUGGUGAUUCAUGAUAACUUAACGGAUCGCAUGGCCUUGCGCCGGCGACGGUUCAUUCAAAUUUCUGCCCUAUCAACUUUCGAUGGUAAGGUAUUGGCUUACCAUGGUUUCAACGGGUAACGGGGAAUUAGGGUUCGAUUCCGGAGAGGGAGCCUGAGAAACGGCUACCACAUCCAAGGAAGGCAGCAGGCGCGCAAAUUACCCAAUCCCGACACGGGGAGGUAGUGACAAUAAAUACUGAUACAGGGCUCUUUUGGGUCUUGUAAUCGGAAUGAGUACAAUUUAAACCUCUUAACGAGGAACAAUUGGAGGGCAAGUCUGGUGCCAGCAGCCGCGGUAAUUCCAGCUCCAAUAGCGUAUAUUAAAGUUGUUGCAGUUAAAAAGCUCGUAGUUGAAUCUUGGGCCUGGCUGGCCGGUCCGCCUCACCGCGUGUACUGGUCUGGCCGGGCCUUUCCUUCUGGAGAACCUCAUGCCCUUCAGUGGGUGUGUUGGGGAACCAGGACUUUUACUUUGAAAAAAUUAGAGUGUUCAAAGCAGGCCUUUGCUCGAAUACGUUAGCAUGGAAUAAUAGAAUAGGACGUGCGGUCCUAUUUUGUUGGUUUCUAGGACCGCCGUAAUGAUUAAUAGGGAUAGUCGGGGGCAUCAGUAUUCAAUUGUCAGAGGUGAAAUUCUUGGAUUUAUUGAAGACUAACUACUGCGAAAGCAUUUGCCAAGGAUGUUUUCAUUAAUCAGUGAACGAAAGUUAGGGGAUCGAAGACGAUCAGAUACCGUCGUAGUCUUAACCGUAAACUAUGCCGACUAGGGAUCGGGCGAUGUUUCUAUCUUGACUCGCUCGGCACCUUACGAGAAAUCAAAGUUUUGGG